GAUGGUUUGACCUCGGAUCAGGUAGGGUUACCCGCUGAACUUAAGCAUAUCAAUAAGCGGAGGAAAAAAAACCAACCAA
Molecule: ribosomal RNA, 79 nt
Filed under: Scedosporium boydii
Lineage: Eukaryota; Fungi; Ascomycota; Sordariomycetes; Microascales; Microascaceae
Description: partial 28S ribosomal RNA
Rfam family: Eukaryotic large subunit ribosomal RNA
Source: RNAcentral